Long non-coding RNA from Cercocebus atys (sooty mangabey), 354 nucleotides. RefSeq lists it as uncharacterized. The transcript is spliced from 3 exons. NCBI's taxonomy places the organism in Eukaryota, Metazoa, Chordata, Mammalia, Primates, Cercopithecidae. The record is from RefSeq and is a predicted model, not a curated record.
GUGAGGUUCUGGUUGUAGCUGACGGGGCUGAAGUACUCGAACAUGAAGACGGUGAUGGCCACCACGGUACAAGUCACCCACCCCAAGAAACGUUCUUUUGACUUCACAACCCCUGCCUGUCCCCAAGUGGAUGAUCUGGUGGUUCCGCCUGGAAUCAGGGCCCCUGAGGCCAAGUCUUACUCCUCAUCCUACCAACAUGGAAACCCGUGCCCAGGGAACUGGAGAGACCCACCCCAGGCCUCGGACAAGACUAUUUCUAUCUCCUAGACCAACCUCCAAGACCCAAGGCUGCUGUGCUUGGCCUCUGAGAGCCCACCCAACUCCCCAUCUCCACCCAAGCUGUACACACCCUCC